RNAcentral lists this long non-coding RNA (866 nucleotides) under Homo sapiens (human). Its description in RNAcentral is "HSALNT0169849". The record is from RNAcentral. Lineage: Eukaryota; Metazoa; Chordata; Mammalia; Primates; Hominidae.
UUCUCCCCCAAGGAAGGGCAGGCAGCUAGCACUUUUGGAAUCAAGUUCGCCCUGGAAGUGGGCUGUGCCUCAUCUUCGCACUCAGACUCUGAUACAGCUCGGAUAUCUGUCCUCUCCAACUCUCAUGUUGAAAUGUUGGGGGUGCGGCCAGUGGGAGGCAUCUGGGUCCUGGGAGCAGAUCUCUCGUGAAGGGCUUGGUGCUGUCCUUGCAGUAAUGGGGGUAAUGAGUGGGUCCUCAUUCUAUCAGUUCAUGUGAGACCUAGUUAUUUAAAAGAGCCUGGAACACACCCCCCACCCCCCACCCAUACUCUCUUUCUCACCAUGUGACACGCCUGCUCCCCUCCCCUGCCUUCAGCCAAGAAUAAAAGCCUCCUGAGGCCUCACCAGAAGCCAAGCAGAUGCUAGUGCUGUGCUCGUACAGCCUGCAGAACCAUGAGCCAAAUCAACCUCUUCAUAAAUGACGCAGGCUCAGUUAUUCCUUUGCAGUAACACAAAACAGACGAACACAGAUUCCCAAUGUGGUGCACUUCUGGGAGGAUCAGCCCUCAGGCCCAGCCCCAGGAUGAGAGCCGGCUCCUGGGUUUCACCGCCCUCACACGCCCACGACUGUGGAAUGAACGAGACUCACUGGGACCCGUCUUCAAGGUCAGCUCAGCAGUACGGGUCAUGUGAAGUCCCUGUUAAGUCCUUGUGAAAGACGGCCAGGAGAUUUAAAGGUGGAGCAGAUGAGACAGAGCAGGAUACCCCAGGACUGGGUCCAGCUUCUGGGGCCCGGUGGGAAGAGGUCUUUGGAUUCUAGUUCCGCUGAUUUUAACACUUGGGCCGUAACUAGCUUAGAAGAGUUCCAGUCAGCAAGGGGCAAGGGG